UUGAAGUCAGCCGCAUACUCCUCUCGGCUUUGCUACAAUGGCAGUAACGCUAUGAGCCUCCAAACCAGCAACCAUCUCCUUCACCCUCCUUUUAGACCUAUCGAACCUCCCUCUCUGUAUCUCCUUUUCCAUCUUCCGGCUUGUCUCUUCCUCAAGCUCAAAAGAAGAGCAGCAGCUCCAUUUCCCUCUCCAUCUCCCUUGGUUAUCAAACAGCAACGUGAGGCAGAGCAGGACAGUGCGGUGGCGGAAGUCGAGCUCUCCUUCUCCGGUGUGACGGUUAGUCCAGCGAAACAGAGCAUCGAGCGCUCUCCUCACCUCCGGUGAAGCAGCUUGUGGACCGGCAAAGCCUGGGCAGUCUCUCCGGCGGUGUUUUCGGUCUUCUUCGAAGAAGUAGGCAGCGGGCACAUGAGCGGGUGGUGGACCUUCUAUGCUCCACCCGCUGGAACCUCAACCUUGAAGCAGCGGCGAGGGUGUUUUCCGGCGAAAGAAGAUCGGCGGCGUGAUGGUGGUAACAGGUGGUGCUGGCCUGGUGGGUGGCGUUGGCUCUGUUGCUCCUUGGCAGUAUGCAUAGUUGAAGAGGAAGGAAAAGGGUUAGGUAGCUUUGGAGAGCGCGCUAGUGGCUUGUAGAUAGAUUAUCUCUUCCUUUAAUAGUUGUUGAGGCCUGUGAGCCUAAGUAAUUGAUUUGUUAGACUGCUGUAGUUGUAGUAGCUGCCUGUGCACCUAUGUUUGUUAUAGGUGUGGCAUAGCACCUUCUGGUUUGUUUAGUUA
Molecule: long non-coding RNA, 768 nt
Organism: Ipomoea nil (Japanese morning glory)
Lineage: Eukaryota; Viridiplantae; Streptophyta; Magnoliopsida; Solanales; Convolvulaceae
Exons: 2
Source: RefSeq, a predicted model, not a curated record